RNAcentral lists this long non-coding RNA (384 nucleotides) under Musa acuminata (dwarf banana). Its description in RNAcentral is "long non-coding RNA (MACU_LNC010485)". The record is from RNAcentral. Lineage: Eukaryota; Viridiplantae; Streptophyta; Magnoliopsida; Zingiberales; Musaceae.
ACGAAACUUGAGAAAUUUAAUUUGAAGGCGUAUUCUUAAAGUUGUGCAGCAAGAGUAAUAAGGAACUAAAGCAGUAAGAAGAUUUGCAGUAAUGUAAAUGACAAUAAUAAAAAGCAAACCAGAGAUUACGCCAAUUUUUAGAGUGGUUCGGUCAAAUGACCUACUCCACUUGCGAGGCCCCUCUUCGAUGAGGCUCCCACCUUCCACUAACAAGUCUCUUGAAAUGGAAGGGUAAACACCCCUCUUACAACCUUUUACAAGCAGCUCAACCUCUUACAAAUUUUCAAUAAGAAAGAAGGAGGAGAACUCUCUAGCAAAUUGAAAACAAGACUUGCUAAGACUUUCUAAGACUUUUCUCUCAAUCAAAAUGCUUCUCAAAAGUUG